ACGAACCGUGCAAACGUUAUUCGGAAUCACUGGGCUUAAAGCGCGUGUAGGCGGAAUGGUGCGUCGGUUGCUGAAAUCCCCCGGCUCAACCGGGGAACGGGCGCCGAAACGGCCAUUCUUGAGGAACGUAGGGGGACCUGGAACUUCCGGUGGAGCGGUGAAAUGCGUUGAGAUCGGAAGGAACGCCAGUGGCGAAAGCGAGGUCCUGGACGUUAACUGACGCUGAGACGCGAAAGCCAGGGGAGCGAACGGGAUUAGAUACCCCGGUAGUCCUGGCCGUAAACGAUGGGCACUGGGUAGGGGGUUCGCCGAUGGACUCCCUGCCGUAGGGAAACCGUGAAGUGCCCCGCCUGGGGAGUAUGGUCGCAAGGCUG
Molecule: ribosomal RNA, 374 nt
Filed under: uncultured bacterium
Lineage: Bacteria
Description: bacterial SSU rRNA
Rfam family: Bacterial small subunit ribosomal RNA
Source: RNAcentral